AAUGAUUGACUUUCCAUAACACAUACAAUUACUUGUUAUAAAGCAUUACGUUGUGGUAAAUUGUUUACUUCAUGAUCAGACAAGUUUUUAUAUAUAAAUGUCAAAAUGCAAGUUGUGGUGAAUGGACUUCUCUUCCAGCUAUCCCUUCCCCUCAAUUUCCUUUGCAGUCUAUGUUGCGAGGCCAUACAGAUUCUUGUUGACAUGAAGUCUAUGUUUCAAUUGCUUAAGGUAGUUUUCGAGGAACUAACUACAAUUUUCUUGCCGUUCAGGGGUUGACAAAUCUUUUGUUUCCUUUUCUCAUUACAAUGCUAUUUGCAAACCCCCCUCCCCCCACCCAAAAGAAAAAAAAAAAAAAA
This 356-nucleotide unclassified non-coding RNA is filed under the name Hevea brasiliensis (rubber tree). Lineage: Eukaryota; Viridiplantae; Streptophyta; Magnoliopsida; Malpighiales; Euphorbiaceae. The record is from RNAcentral.